Non-coding RNA from Drosophila melanogaster (fruit fly), 77 nucleotides. Lineage: Eukaryota; Metazoa; Arthropoda; Insecta; Diptera; Drosophilidae. The record is from Ensembl.
GCUCCUGCUGCAUCUGUUGGCGAUAGCGCUCGUCACUCUUGGCCGUGUACUCCGCCUCCAACAGAUCCAGCAGCAGA